Molecule: ribosomal RNA, 248 nt
Filed under: uncultured Lachnospiraceae bacterium
Lineage: Bacteria; Bacillati; Bacillota; Clostridia; Lachnospirales; Lachnospiraceae
Description: partial 16S ribosomal RNA
Rfam family: Bacterial small subunit ribosomal RNA
Source: RNAcentral
UACGUAGGGGGCAAGCGUUAUCCGGAAUCACUGGGUGUAAAGGGAGCGUAGACGGUUGUGCAAGUCUGGAGUGAAAGGCGGGGGCCCAACCCCCGGACUGCUCUGGAAACUGUGUAACUGGAGUGCAGGAGAGGCAGGCGGAAUUCCUGGUGUAGCGGUGAAAUGCGUAGAUAUCAGGAGGAACACCGGUGGCGAAGGCGGCCUGCUGGACUGUAACUGACGUUGAGGCUCGAAAGCGUGGGGAGCAA